UGGGCUGUAGUCUAGCGGUAGGACACGUGACUUUGACUCACGCCGUGGUGGUUCAACUCCACCCAGCCCAGCCA
This 74-nucleotide transfer RNA is filed under the name Clostridiales bacterium. Its description in RNAcentral is "tRNA-Gln". It matches the Rfam family "tRNA". From Rfam's summary of the family: Transfer RNA (tRNA) molecules are approximately 80 nucleotides in length. Their secondary structure includes four short double-helical elements and three loops (D, anti-codon, and T loops). The record is from RNAcentral. RNAcentral also lists the same sequence under 1 other name. Lineage: Bacteria; Bacillati; Bacillota; Clostridia; Eubacteriales.